RNAcentral lists this ribosomal RNA (2522 nucleotides) under Escherichia coli. Its description in RNAcentral is "partial 23S ribosomal RNA". It matches the Rfam family "Bacterial large subunit ribosomal RNA", at positions 412 to 2915 of the family's 2925-position model. Lineage: Bacteria; Pseudomonadati; Pseudomonadota; Gammaproteobacteria; Enterobacterales; Enterobacteriaceae. The record is from RNAcentral.
GUAGGGCGGGACACGUGGUAUCCUGUCUGAAUAUGGGGGGACCAUCCUCCAAGGCUAAAUACUCCUGACUGACCGAUAGUGAACCAGUACCGUGAGGGAAAGGCGAAAAGAACCCCGGCGAGGGGAGUGAAAAAGAACCUGAAACCGUGUACGUACAAGCAGUGGGAGCCUCUUUAUGGGGUGACUGCGUACCUUUUGUAUAAUGGGUCAGCGACUUAUAUUCUGUAGCAAGGUUAACCGAAUAGGGGAGCCGAAGGGAAACCGAGUCUUAACUGGGCGUUAAGUUGCAGGGUAUAGACCCGAAACCCGGUGAUCUAGCCAUGGGCAGGUUGAAGGUUGGGUAACACUAACUGGAGGACCGAACCGACUAAUGUUGAAAAAUUAGCGGAUGACUUGUGGCUGGGGGUGAAAGGCCAAUCAAACCGGGAGAUAGCUGGUUCUCCCCGAAAGCUAUUUAGGUAGCGCCUCGUGAAUUCAUCUCCGGGGGUAGAGCACUGUUUCGGCAAGGGGGUCAUCCCGACUUACCAACCCGAUGCAAACUGCGAAUACCGGAGAAUGUUAUCACGGGAGACACACGGCGGGUGCUAACGUCCGUCGUGAAGAGGGAAACAACCCAGACCGCCAGCUAAGGUCCCAAAGUCAUGGUUAAGUGGGAAACGAUGUGGGAAGGCCCAGACAGCCAGGAUGUUGGCUUAGAAGCAGCCAUCAUUUAAAGAAAGCGUAAUAGCUCACUGGUCGAGUCGGCCUGCGCGGAAGAUGUAACGGGGCUAAACCAUGCACCGAAGCUGCGGCAGCGACGCUGAUGCGUUGUUGGGUAGGGGAGCGUUCUGUAAGCCUGUGAAGGUGUACUGUGAGGUAUGCUGGAGGUAUCAGAAGUGCGAAUGCUGACAUAAGUAACGAUAAAGCGGGUGAAAAGCCCGCUCGCCGGAAGACCAAGGGUUCCUGUCCAACGUUAAUCGGGGCAGGGUGAGUCGACCCCUAAGGCGAGGCCGAAAGGCGUAGUCGAUGGGAAACAGGUUAAUAUUCCUGUACUUGGUGUUACUGCGAAGGGGGGACGGAGAAGGCUAUGUUGGCCGGGCGACGGUUGUCCCGGUUUAAGCGUGUAGGCUGGUUUUCCAGGCAAAUCCGGAAAAUCAAGGCUGAGGCGUGAUGACGAGGCACUACGGUGCUGAAGCAACAAAUGCCCUGCUUCCAGGAAAAGCCUCUAAGCAUCAGGUAACAUCAAAUCGUACCCCAAACCGACACAGGUGGUCAGGUAGAGAAUACCAAGGCGCUUGAGAGAACUCGGGUGAAGGAACUAGGCAAAAUGGUGCCGUAACUUCGGGAGAAGGCACGCUGAUAUGUAGGUGAAGCGACUUGCUCGUGGAGCUGAAAUCAGUCGAAGAUACCAGCUGGCUGCAACUGUUUAUUAAAAACACAGCACUGUGCAAACACGAAAGUGGACGUAUACGGUGUGACGCCUGCCCGGUGCCGGAAGGUUAAUUGAUGGGGUCAGCGCAAGCGAAGCUCUUGAUCGAAGCCCCGGUAAACGGCGGCCGUAACUAUAACGGUCCUAAGGUAGCGAAAUUCCUUGUCGGGUAAGUUCCGACCUGCACGAAUGGCGUAAUGAUGGCCAGGCUGUCUCCACCCGAGACUCAGUGAAAUUGAACUCGCUGUGAAGAUGCAGUGUACCCGCGGCAAGACGGAAAGACCCCGUGAACCUUUACUAUAGCUUGACACUGAACAUUGAGCCUUGAUGUGUAGGAUAGGUGGGAGGCUUUGAAGUGUGGACGCCAGUCUGCAUGGAGCCGACCUUGAAAUACCACCCUUUAAUGUUUGAUGUUCUAACGUGGACCCGUAAUCCGGGUUGCGGACAGUGUCUGGUGGGUAGUUUGACUGGGGCGGUCUCCUCCUAAAGAGUAACGGAGGAGCACGAAGGUUGGCUAAUCCUGGUCGGACAUCAGGAGGUUAGUGCAAUGGCAUAAGCCAGCUUGACUGCGAGCGUGACGGCGCGAGCAGGUGCGAAAGCAGGUCAUAGUGAUCCGGUGGUUCUGAAUGGAAGGGCCAUCGCUCAACGGAUAAAAGGUACUCCGGGGAUAACAGGCUGAUACCGCCCAAGAGUUCAUAUCGACGGCGGUGUUUGGCACCUCGAUGUCGGCUCAUCACAUCCUGGGGCUGAAGUAGGUCCCAAGGGUAUGGCUGUUCGCCAUUUAAAGUGGUACGCGAGCUGGGUUUAGAACGUCGUGAGACAGUUCGGUCCCUAUCUGCCGUGGGCGCUGGAGAACUGAGGGGGGCUGCUCCUAGUACGAGAGGACCGGAGUGGACGCAUCACUGGUGUUCGGGUUGUCAUGCCAAUGGCACUGCCCGGUAGCUAAAUGCGGAAGAGAUAAGUGCUGAAAGCAUCUAAGCACGAAACUUGCCCCGAGAUGAGUUCUCCCUGACUCCUUGAGAGUCCUGAAGGAACGUUGAAGACGACGACGUUGAUAGGCCGGGUGUGUAAGCGCAGCGAUGCGUUGAGCUAACCGGUACUAAUGAACCGUGAG